Non-coding RNA from Chlorocebus sabaeus (green monkey), 2111 nucleotides. Lineage: Eukaryota; Metazoa; Chordata; Mammalia; Primates; Cercopithecidae. The record is from RefSeq and is a predicted model, not a curated record.
UCUACUUCUGGGCAAUUAUCCUGCAAAUCCUGCCAGGUGAUAAGAGUAAGUAGGGUGCCCAUAACCUGGAGGUUUCCUUGUUUGGGAAAACAAGACCAAAGAAGCUGACCAAAGCCAAGCCCCAUGCACCCAAAUCUUAGCAGGCAUAACUGUAGCCACCAAUUAUUAGGGCAUGUGGGCAGCCUCAGGAUUUUUAAGCUGUCUUUACCCCCUUGUUUCAUUUUUAUACAUGUUGUCUAAUAACCUGGUUUGUCCUUCUCACCUUCUAGCCAUCAAACUCCAAAUGGUUGUGCAACCAGAGCCUCGCAUGAUGGUUCCCUUUAAGAGACCCUUAGCAUAUCCCCAUUCUUCUUGGAUGCAGGACAAGAGCUCAGGAACUGCUGAACACAGGUACACAAGCUAUAAUACAGAGAUCAGAAAAAAGAUUGCUGCUUGCAAAAGGUCUAAAAAUGCCUUUUUAGAUCUAUGUGACAAGAGAGGAGGGCGAAGGAAGAAAACUCUUGGCAUGGCUGGAAAAUCACACAAGUCGUUUGGUCUCCAGAUUGAAAAGAAGUCAACGUUUCACAGGGGUCUUAGUAAAAGACAGCUGUGCACAGAUAAAAAAUAUAUAGGUUUAUAUUUCACGCUUGAGUCCCAAGCCUCUCAGGCCUUCUUAAGGAAAGGAUGUAUAUUACGAAAAGGGGCACAAGAUCAUUUUCUCAAAGGAGCCCAAGAAGAAUAUGGAACUGAGAACAAGUCAAGUCAGACAGCAGGCGUGAGCCACCGCGCCCGGCCUCCUGCAAUUUCUACUCUAUCAGGUGUCUGCCCUAUGAUUUUUUAUCUUACUAUGAGCAAGAAGAAAAAGAAGAAGAAACAUUUUAUGUUAGAUGAGGAAGGGGAUACCCAAACAGAGGAAACCCAGUCUUCAAAAACAAAAGAAGUGGAGCCAGAGCCAACUGAGGACAAAGAUUUGGAAGCUGAUGAAGAGGACACUAGGAAAAAAGAUGCUUCUGAUGAUCUAGAUGACUUGAACUUCUUUAAUCAAAAGUAAAAGAAGAAAAAAACUAAAAAGGUGUUUAAUAUUGAUGAAGCUGAAGAAGGUGUAAAGGAUCUUAAGAUUGAAAGUGAUGUUCAAGAACCAACUGAACCAGAGGAUGACCUUGACAUUAUGCUUGGCAAUAACAAGAAGAAAAAGAAGAAUGUUAAGCUCCCAGAUAAGGAUGAAAUAUUAGAGAAAGAUGAAGCUCUAGAAGAUGAAGACAGCAAAAAAGAUGAUGGUAUCUCAUUCAGUAAUUGGACAGGCCCUACUUGGGCAGGCUCAGAAAGAGACUACACAUAGGAGGAGCUGCUGAAUCGAGUGUUCAACAUCAUGAGGGAAAAGAAUCCAGAUAUGGUUGCUGGGAAGAAAAGGAAAUUUGUCACGAAAGCUCCACAGGUCGUCCGAGUAGGAACCAAGAAAACUUCUUUUGUCAACUUUACAAAUAUCUGUAAACUAUUACAUCAUCAGCCCAAACAUCUCCUUGCAUUUUUGUUGGCUGAACUGGGUACAAGUGGUUCUGUAGAUGGUAAUAACCAAUUUGUAAUCAAAGGAAGAUUCCAACAGAAACAGAAAAUGUCUUGAGAAGAUAUAUCAAGGAAUAUGUCACAUGUCACAUAUGCCGAUCACUGGACACAAUCCUACAGUAGGACACACGACUCUAUUUCCUACAGUGCGAAACUUGUCAUUCUAGAUGUUCUGUUGCCAGUAUCAAAACCGGCUUCCAGGCUGCCAUGGGCAAGCGAGCACAGCUCCGUGCCAAAACUAACUAAUUUGCUAAUCACUGAUUUUGCAAAGCAUAUUGUGGAGAUGUGGCUGGACAGGUUUGCCAUCAGAGUGGAUAUACCAUUGUAUUAAAAACAAGAUAAAAAAGCUGCCAAGAUUUUUGGCGAGUGGUUGGUUGGUCUGAAUUCCUUGCGAGACGCUGAUGUUCAAGCUGUUGGCAUACCCAUUGCCUACUUUAACACCUGUCAGAGAAACGUCAUAUGGGGUAAGGAGGUGCUUUUUAAAAAUCAUUCAUAGACUUCUCUAAAAUGCAAGAUAAAUUAAAGUUAUUAUAACAGUGAUUCUUUCAAAAAUAAAUAAAUAAAAAUAA